This 336-nucleotide RNase P RNA is filed under the name human gut metagenome. RNAcentral describes it as "Bacterial RNase P class A". It matches the Rfam family "Bacterial RNase P class A". Rfam says of the family: Ribonuclease P (RNase P) is a ubiquitous endoribonuclease, found in archaea, bacteria and eukarya as well as chloroplasts and mitochondria. The record is from RNAcentral.
AGUCGGGCGUACGGUUGCGGGAGAGAAAUCUCACGAGGAAAGUCCGCGCUCCCCACGGCAAGGAUGCCGCCUAACGGACGGUGAAGGCGACUUCAAGGAAAGUGCAACAGAAAAUAACCGCCGCAUUUGCGGUAAGGAUGAAAAGGCGAGGUAAGAGCUCACCGGCGACACGGAGACGCGUCGCGCCGUGUAAACCCCAUCCGGAGCAAGAUAGGGGCGACCUUAAUAAACGCCGUGUAAAGGUCGCCUGUGAAACGUCGCUCGAGUCCGUCGGCAACGACGGACCUAGAUAGAUAACCGUAUUAAAUGACAGAACGCGGCUUACAACCCGACUCG